CGUGUAGCUCAGCCGGUAGAGCAGCGCACUCGUAACGCGAAGGUCGCAGGUUCGAUUCCUGUCUCGG
RNAcentral lists this transfer RNA (67 nucleotides) under Pseudomonas fluorescens. It matches the Rfam family "tRNA". From Rfam's summary of the family: Transfer RNA (tRNA) molecules are approximately 80 nucleotides in length. RNAcentral also lists the same sequence under 5 other names. Lineage: Bacteria; Pseudomonadati; Pseudomonadota; Gammaproteobacteria; Pseudomonadales; Pseudomonadaceae. The record is from RNAcentral.